Molecule: ribosomal RNA, 477 nt
Filed under: uncultured bacterium
Lineage: Bacteria
Description: bacterial SSU rRNA
Rfam family: Bacterial small subunit ribosomal RNA
Source: RNAcentral
GACGAACGCUGGCGGCGUGCCUAACACAUGCAAGUCGAGCGGGAAGCUUUUAAUUGAGACUUCGGUUGAUUUUAUGAGUGGAGAGCGGCGGACGGGUGAGUAACGCGUGAGUAACCUGCCUUCAAGAGGGGGAUAACACAGAGAAAUUUGUGCUAAUACCGCAUGACACCGUAGUGUCGCAUGACACAUCGGUCAAAGAUUUAUCGCUUGAAGAUGGACUCGCGUCUGAUUAGCUAGUUGGUGAGGUAACGGCUCACCAAGGCGACGAUCAGUAGCCGAACUGAGAGGUUGAUCGGCCACAUUGGGACUGAGACACGGCCCAGACUCCUACGGGAGGCAGCAGUGGGGAAUAUUGGGCAAUGGGGGCAACCCUGACCCAGCAACGCCGCGUGAAGGAGAAGGCUUCGGGUUGUAAACUUCUUUUACCAGGGACGAAGACGUGACGGUACCUGGAGAAAAGCCACGGCUAACUACGUG